Molecule: ribosomal RNA, 254 nt
Filed under: uncultured bacterium
Lineage: Bacteria
Description: partial 16S ribosomal RNA
Rfam family: Bacterial small subunit ribosomal RNA
Source: RNAcentral
UACGAAGGGGGCUAGCGUUGUUCGGAAUUACUGGGCGUAAAGCGCGCGCAGGCGGUCUUCCAAGUCAGUGGUGAAAGCCCGGAGCUCAACUCCGGAACUGCCAUUGAAACUGUUAGACUUGAGGACGAGAGAGGUGAGUGGAAUUCCCAGUGUAGAGGUGAAAUUCGUAGAUAUUGGGAAGAACACCGGUGGCGAAGGCGGCAUCCUGGACCGGCAUUGACGCUGAGGCGCGAAAAGCCAGGGGAGCAAACGGG